AGAUUGAACGCUGGCGGCAGGCCUAACACAUGCAAGUCGAGCGGUAGAGAGGUGCUUGCACCUCUUGAGAGCGGCGGACGGGUGAGUAAUGCCUAGGAAUCUGCCUAGUGGUGGGGGAUAACGUUCGGAAACGGACGCUAAUACCGCAUACGUCCUACGGGAGAAAGCGGGGGACCUUCGGGCCUCGCGCCAUUAGAUGAGCCUAGGGUCGGAUUAGCUAGUUGGUGAGGUAAUGGCUCACCAAGGCGACGAUCCGUAACUGGUCUGAGAGGAUGAUCAGUCACACGUGGAACUGAGACACGGUCCAGACUCCGUACGGGAGCAGCAGGUAGGGAAUAGUUGGACAAGUGGGACGAAAGCCUGGACUCCACGACCAGUCGCCGCGUGGUGUAGGAAGG
This 398-nucleotide ribosomal RNA is filed under the name uncultured soil bacterium. RNAcentral describes it as "bacterial SSU rRNA". It matches the Rfam family "Bacterial small subunit ribosomal RNA", at positions 26 to 414 of the family's 1533-position model. The record is from RNAcentral.